UGCGCAGGAAUCUACCUGGUAGUGGGGAUAACUCGGGAAACUCGAACUAAUACCGCAUACGCCUACGGGGAAGGCGGGGACCGUUCGGGCCUCGCGCUAUCAGAUGAGCCUGCGUAGGAUUAGCUUGUUGGUGAGGUAAAGGCUCACCAAGGCGACGAUCCUUAGCUGGUCUGAGAGGAUGAUCAGCCACACUGGAACUGAGACACGGUCCAGACUCCUACGGGAGGCAGCAGUGGGGAAUAUUGCACAAUGGGCGAAAGCCUGAUGCAGCAAUGCCGCGUGUGUGAAGAAGGCCUGCGGGUUGUAAAGCACUUUCAGUAGGGAGGAAACAGUAGCCGGUUAAUAUCCGGUUGCCUUGACGUUACCUACAGAAGAAGCACCGGCUAACUCUGUG
Molecule: ribosomal RNA, 394 nt
Filed under: uncultured bacterium
Lineage: Bacteria
Description: bacterial SSU rRNA
Rfam family: Bacterial small subunit ribosomal RNA
Source: RNAcentral